Molecule: long non-coding RNA, 5160 nt
Organism: Falco peregrinus (peregrine falcon)
Lineage: Eukaryota; Metazoa; Chordata; Aves; Falconiformes; Falconidae
Exons: 6
Source: RefSeq, a predicted model, not a curated record
GUGCUUCAGUCACACCAGUAUCAAGACACUUCACAACUACACUUAGGAAAAGCAAUUUGGAUUUGUCCACAGCCACCAUUUACCCUGAAGAACAGCAGGAGCUCCCCCUCCCACAGGGAGGGAUGUGGGACAUGCCACAGUAAGAAAAAACACGGUACAAACUGGUACGUUAAGGAAAAUUAACUGUAGUAUGUAUUCGUAAUCACAAAGUUAUAAAACAUUCUGGCUCAUGCAGAUAAGCUGCCUCUGUAGCUCUGGAGUACCUGGAGGCAGGAUAUGUGAACAGCAAAGGGAGAAACUGUUCUCCCCAUCCGUGCAUCGGAGCCUACAUUGUAGGAAAUACGUCAUUAUGGGUAUGACCAUUAGUACUCACUGAUUCACAUCUUAGUCGCAGCAACAGAGCUCUCUGGUCAAGGGGCUGCAUCCCUUUCUGUUGCUGUAACUGAUGGAGACCAAGUUUGGAUCCCUUUACUCAUUUAAAAAAAAGUUUAAAGUUCUUGCCUUGAUGUUGCAUGUGAAGAACUUGGAAAUCCUGCAGGCCCCAAACUCUGCAGCCUGUGCAAGGCCUGAGCAUAACUUGCACCCUGCCUUUCAGCCAGGUGCCCUUGCAGCCAUAAACUUUCCUGUCCCCUUUCCAGGGAUUUACAGCAAGGAAGAGAGGAACUACUACAUGCCUCUUCUAGAAAUUGAACAUUACAGACAGAGUAACACAAGUUAGUCUAAUCAUUUACUUCCCUUCUACCUACUGACAUGAGGGUGUUCGUUGGAAAGCUAAAGAUCUACCGUGAUGUUGCACAAAACCAAGCUGGUUACCAGGCCAACUAAGAGAGCAAGGACAGAGACCUGUCCAGGAAGCUGUCUGUUGCUACUUACUUGGCUUUUGUGGGAAGGUAGAUACAUCCCACCAAUCACCCUUUUCCCACCAUCUUCACUUCUUUCCUCCCAGGACCGAGAGGCUGAUAACCAGCAGGACCAACAAUAUUCACCACCGUGGGAGUACUGGAUUUCUCAGGGACAGAGAAGGUCAGCCUUUUAAGAAACUGGAACUACAAGAGCCAGAUUUAAAGAAAUAGGAAUUGCCCUUUCCUCUCUGCCUCUUUCUAAAGUUCAAGAAGCUAUAGCAGAUUUUUUUUUCCUGCACAAGUGAAAUUAAAGUGGCCGGGAGAAGGAAGGGUUGUUUAACUUGGAUACAAGCUGAACUCUAAGGCUGGUGACCCCUGGGAAAGCCUUGCUAAGGCAAAACAAGAGAGGAUGUGCUGGUUACAUCAGCAAGAGAAGGCUUAUAUGUUUGGAAGGUUGCACAACAGAACAGAAGGAAAAAACCAGAAUGGUCAGGAUGACAGUGACACAAGGGUCAAAGACUCAGUUAGACUUUUGAACAUUUGGCUGCCUCGUAUAGCUCACAUCUGUUUGCAAAGGUUCUGCAGUUUAUAGCACCAUAAACCCUUCCACACGAGCUUUUGAAAGCUGCUGAGGGGCACCGGCAAGCCACACCACUGCCGCGGGUGCGCGCAGGGCUGGCAGGCGGGUGGGAAAAGCUCCGUAGAGGCUACAGGAUGCUGCUUUCAUUGCCCUGAGGAUCCAAGGUGUUUCUUAAUUCUGCCCAAUGCUGAAUUUCAUAAAGCUCAUAAAAUAUCAUCCAGGAAGAGAGUGCAUGAGAAAUAUGCUCAGAAGGAACUGCGUGCUGUCUAGGUAGAUGAAGACUGGAAGAAAACACGGGUAGAGGGAGCAGAAAUGGUAAAGUCUGGUGAGAAAGCUGGAAAUAGAGACCUAGAGCAGGGCUAUAUCUUAGCCACACUGUAGAGCAGCUGCUAGGAAGGUAAGCUUUGGGAGCCUGGUAAAAAGAAAGGAGGCUCCCAUGUCCUCUCUAAGAAAGCACAUCUGGAGAGACAACAGUCAUGACUGCCCCAUGUUCUUACACCUUUAGGACAAGGCCUGGGACUGCAGACUAAGAAGCAGCACCAAGCUAAGCUGGGGCAGCAACCCACGUUCCCCAGUGCAAGAUUCUCCCAUGCUCAGCCCACGCUCCUGGAACAGGACUCCCUCAAGUACUGUUUGCAUUGCUAUUUGCAAGUCAGGGAUGGGCACUCCAUCCUUCUGCUUCCCUUCUGAGGGCCUCAGCACCUGGAGGAGGUUAACAGGAUUAAAGUCUGUUUUAUCUGUCCCAACUUGGCACUCCAGAGGUCAGCUCCCUCCCUAGACAUGAAUGUUGACAAACAUAAUAGUACAUAGACAUUUCCCCUCCUUCCUCAGGAGCAAAGUCCAGGCUGUUCCACCAGCCAUUCCUAAAAACUGUUUAACUUUUAUCCACUCCCAAGGCCUGAGCUACUGCCCUUAGUAUUUGUUGUGGCAUCCCCAAAGAGAUUUAGACUUUUUUUGCAGUAGAUGCUGUACGCUCAGAGUCCCUUCCCCAAAGCGACACCGCACAACAGCAGAACGUGAGAUAGUGUGACAGUAAACAGCUUGUAUUCUGGAGCAGGAGACACAAGAAACUGAGCUGUCUCACCCAUAACUUCCUUCUUUCUUUGUGCCUUCCUAGAUGCUUAACAGUGCUGUUUUGGAGAUUUUUUGGUUUUUGGAUUGAUGGAGAAGUACCAUGCCACAUCCUUCCAACACAGGCCAGAGCAUCGUGAUGGGUGAAAGAAAAAGGCAAAGUGCAAAGACUCAGAAAUCUCAGCUGUCUCCUACUCUGAUGCAGACUGCAGGAAAAUCAUGUUUACCACUAGGGAAACUGAGGCAGAAAGGCAGGAAAUCACCAGGUAGCAAGUGUUAUUGAAGAGAACCCAAAGCAGCAGGCCAGACUAGAUGCUUGGAUAUUGGUCUUGAAGAUGAAGGCAGUAACACAGAUGAAGGGGAGAACAGAAAGUAGGAAGCGCUUGGUGGCACAGCUCACCCAGUAAUGCCACAGGAAAAAGCCCAAUGCUCCUAAGCUACGUAUGCCAGAGUUCUUUGUACUCACCUUCCAGCUGGCCCAACUGGUUAUGUUUGACUAGGUCCCAGGUGCACCUCAAUAUUCAGCUAUUUCUUUCAGCAGAGCCACUGCCUGGUGUUUGUCUUGGGCACGGUGUCUCAGGGUUUUUUUUGACAGUGCUGCUCUUCUCCUCUCCUGAUGGAAUUUUUCUUUCCUAGUUUGGAAACUGCUGUGUAAGUGGAGAUGACUAGCACAUGCAAAAGGGGCAGAGGGACCCCAGAACUACACAGGAACCACUGAAGGGUGGCUAGGUGUCCUAGGGCAGGAGGCAGUUGGCAGAAAUUCAGGAGAGGCAGAGGGAGUGGAGAAUUGUAAUAGAAAAGCUAAGAUAGGUCUGAAUGGAGAGUAAAGAGUCUGGGGUGUGUGUGUGUGUGCAUCCAUGUAUAUGGAGUUUUUCUAUGUCUGAGCUGGCCACUUGUUGUUAUUUCUGAUGCUUUUUGCAGAAAAGGACCCCGCAGGUGGCCACAGCCGACAGAAGUGAUCACUUGGCAUGGCUUCUCAGCCCUUUCUCAGGCAGCACAAGCACAGCCAGCUUCAAGCUCCUGCCUUGCAUGUUGCUCUGAUGGGCUGUUUCUCAGGCUGCUGUGCCUUCUGGCACUGGAAGUGAGCAAGCCAGCAGAGAAAUGACUGGUGUCUUCUGGGGACAGCACCGGUCAGGAUACAGCAUCAACUAGAGCUGGUUUGGAAUAUCCUGUGCCGUAGACCCCUGUCACCGCCAGGCACAUGGGCUCUCUUGGGAGCUUGCCUGCGUGACCUCAGGAUGGAGGCCCGUCACCUGAACACGCACAUACCCACGCUGUUUUGUCAGCUGAGCGAUUGCAUUCCUCCUUUAGCACUCCUUGGCCAGGGUUGGGCCUUACCUCACCACACCCUGUGGGCCAGCACCCCUUCUGCCACCCACUUGGGCACCUGGCAUGCAUACAGCAUGGCUGGCCGGCCACGAGCUGCACCCGGCAUUUGCCACCUCUGAAACUGGGCCAUAAGCAGGGCUUCUUAGUUCCUUAAGCGUCAAAUUCUGCCACCUCUCUCCAAAACCUGACACGUUCAUUUUGACAUCACUUGGCCUCUGAGUUCAGGAGGCGGGCUGGAGACCUGGAACCCACUAAAAUUCAUCCCACUUCCAACACCCUCCUAGCACCAGGCUCCUUGCUUUCAGGUUUGGAGGCCAUGAAUUAGGGCUUUUGUGACCAGCAAACGGAUGGCACGGCACUUCAUCUGAGUUUGUAAUCAGCUGGCUCAUCAGAUGGUGCUUGCUUCUCUGUUCCCUUUUCCCCUAGUUACUGAUAAACUCUGUGAAUACCCACAGCUGUCCCCUGAUGUUGCUCUUUUCUUUACAAGUGACUUCUGCUAGGAUGUGUUUGUAAAAGAGGCAGGGGCAGGGCAGUCUCCAGCCAACAACGUCCUGUGCUAAAGGCUGUCCAGGUAGCAGCAGCUGUAGCAUAAUAGUAGCACUUAUUAAGGACUUUUCACAAGACUGCAAAAAAUGAGCAAAAGCUUGUUUACAGGUCGGAGGGAGAACUGUAACCUGCCAGAGGUGGACAAAGUCUGCAACAGAUACUCAAGUGGGAGGAUCUAGUAUCAUGAAAUGUGUUUUGGAAACCCUGGAUUUUGCUUCUUUUUGCCACUGACAGACUAAUUUUCCUGUGUCUCGGUUCCUCUCAGUAAAACAAAUGGGAGAUUUGCUACCGACCUCCUCUGAAAACUGAACAGAGGUUCUGCAGGCACGACGGGUUGUGAGUGGUGCUGACUGACAUCUGCUGGUAAACUCAGCGUGGUUAAGCUGGUCUAGGCUCUGGGGGAGCAGCUCUUCCUGACUGGGUUCUUCCUGCUGUGAACCAGAAGAAAGAAUGACCUGCAAGCCAACAAGAAGUCUAGCAACACUCCAGAAGAGAGAUAAGCAUGUCUAGCUUGCUCACCACUGCAUCAAUCUUGGAGCCAAUGCUGUUUAUGGACCGUUCCAGCUGCAGCACACGUUGCAGGAGUCUGGGGGAAACAUGGAGAGCAUUUGCAAGCUUUUUCUUGUGAUAAACGGCAGGAUUUGAAGCAGAUAUCUCAUGGACAAUGGGCAAGACCUCAAACAGGAGUGAAUGUUCCACAUCAGGUCAUGCUUCAACUGCUGUUGCUCCUCUUCAUCAAGAAUGCGGUUGCCAUCUUUGUCGAACCUGGAGAAGGCUGCUGUGAUCUCAUGG